Molecule: ribosomal RNA, 429 nt
Filed under: Actinomycetes bacterium
Lineage: Bacteria; Bacillati; Actinomycetota; Actinomycetes
Description: Actinobacteria bacterium partial 16S ribosomal RNA
Rfam family: Bacterial small subunit ribosomal RNA
Source: RNAcentral
UAGGGAAUCUUCCGCAAUGGGCGAAAGCCUGACGGAGCAACGCCGCGUGAGUGAUGAAGGCCUUCGGAUCGUAAAACUCUGCUAUUAGGGAAGAACAAAUGUGUAAGUAACUAUGCACGUCUUGACGGUACCUAAUCAGAAAGCCACGGCUAACUACGUGCCAGCAGCCGCGGUAAUACGUAGGUGGCAAGCGUUAUCCGGAAUUAUUGGGCGUAAAGCGCGCGUAGGCGGUUUUUUAAGUCUGAUGUGAAAGCCCACGGCUCAACCGUGGAGGGUCAUUGGAAACUGGAAAACUUGAGUGCAGAAGAGGAAAGUGGAAUUCCAUGUGUAGCGGUGAAAUGCGCAGAGAUAUGGAGGAACACCAGUGGCGAAGGCGACUUUCUGGUCUGUAACUGACGCUGAUGUGCGAAAGCGUGGGGAUCAAACAGG